GGGCUCAUAGUAAAACGGUAUUACGCGGCAUUCGCAUUGCCGAGGUCCGGGUCCGAUUCCCGGUGAGUCCACCA
This 74-nucleotide transfer RNA is filed under the name Candidatus Falkowbacteria bacterium RIFCSPLOWO2_02_FULL_45_21. Its description in RNAcentral is "tRNA-Ala". It matches the Rfam family "tRNA". From Rfam's summary of the family: Transfer RNA (tRNA) molecules are approximately 80 nucleotides in length. Their secondary structure includes four short double-helical elements and three loops (D, anti-codon, and T loops). RNAcentral also lists the same sequence under 1 other name. The record is from RNAcentral. Lineage: Bacteria; Candidatus Falkowiibacteriota.